RNAcentral lists this long non-coding RNA (3076 nucleotides) under Mus musculus (house mouse). Its description in RNAcentral is "long non-coding RNA chr9:111275048-111278124". The record is from RNAcentral. Lineage: Eukaryota; Metazoa; Chordata; Mammalia; Rodentia; Muridae.
GCAGCACACUGUCGUGUUGCACAUUCGAGGAACCUUAUUACAACCAAGCGUUUGGAAGGAACUGAUGCUUAAGCCACACGAGUCUAAGAGCCAAAGUUAGAUCAGUGGUUCUAAACCAAAGGUAGAAGCCCUUCCUUCCAGAGAGUGCUGGAAAGGGUUAGGGCACCUUUGUAGUCCUGGAGGGUUGUGCUGGCAGGUAAGCCAAGAAGAGCUCUCCUUCCUAUGGUGGUCAGACAGCCUGAUGCCAUGAAGAGUCAUCCAUUACUCCCAAAGUGCCAGCACCUCCCCCUCCCCCACCAAGCAUACAUCAUCUUACUUCAAAGGACAGGAAACAAUCUCCAGCGGAAGCUGAUGGUGUAUACUUGAUAGGGAAGCCUAGUUCCAGCAGUUCAGAGGAGAAAAGCUAGUGUCAGAUUGACAUUUUCCUUAUCAAAGAAUGAGCUUAAGUACCUGGAAAAUGAGUCUACUGGUAGUUUCCCAGGAGCUUUGUGGAUUACCUUUCACAAUAAAUACGUAAAAUACUUUUAUUAUUUGAGAGAAUGAUUGGAAGUCCUGAAAGCUGCUUCUACUUUCUAUUUUAGUCCCCUAAAUAUUAAUAUCUUGUGCAUUCUAUCAAGUUCUUGUGUUUUGCUUAAGGUGAUAAUAAAGCUAGUUUGCAUCAUGUAACCACUGUGUGAAUAUGGGGGAGAUAUAAAUAAGCUAAGGGAUUUUUUUAAAUUAAUCCUUAGCAAGUUUGCUGUAACUAGUCUUAUUUUUUGUUUUUUUCUUCGUUUAAGGCAGUGGUUCUUAACCUUCCUAGUGCUGCGACCCUUUAAUAUAGUUCCUCAUGUUGUGGUAACCCCCAGCCAUAAAAUUAUUUCUUUGCUAUUUCAUAACUGUAAUUUUGCUACUGUUAUGAAUUGUAAAUAUCCAAUAUGCAGGAUAGAUAUCUGAUAUUCGACCCCCCAGAGGGGCGAGACUCAUGGGUUGAGAACUUCUGGUUUAAGGUGUUUUGCUGUUUUUUGUAUUUCUGGAAGUAACUCUAGCUGCAUGGCAGUUUUUUCUUUCCUUUUUCCGUUUUAAAUAUAUAGUUGUUACUGGUCCUGUGGUAUCAGUGAAUAUAGUUCAAAUAAGUGCCAUUUAAAGCAACAACAAUUCUGUGUCCUUAACUGUCCUUUCCCAUUUCUCUCAUUCCCACUAGUUCAAAUAUUUGCUUGCCCAGGCUCCCAUAUUGCCCAUCAGAUCACUCAAGUUCAGUGUGUUUUGUCAGUAUUUUUGCCUUCUUGAAAUCAUUGUAGCAUUGCAGAGACACCAACUCCAGUAAUUGUAGUCACCUCUUCCUUAAGUAUGUCUGUCUGGUUGUUUUGUUUGCUGUUCUGUUUUGUUUUCUUUUAAGACUCCCUUACCUCAUAUUCCUACAUUACUUCCUUAGUUGAUCUCUUUCUAUGACUUUAGUUAUCACCUGUAUGCAGAUACUUCCAAAUUUUUGUCUCCUGAGAUUUCCCUGUAAAUCAUAGUUGCUAAUAUUGCUAACUCUUUGCUCUUUCACAUCUUGGCUCUUUCUCCCAGACCUGCUCUUCCUCUCACUUUCCCUUCAGCAGAUGGCUUUACAGUCAGAUCACUCAUACCACUCCCCUGCCUUCAUUGCUAUCAAGGUAGAUAGAAGACAAACUUCUGUUCAUCUUGCAGAACUUGGCUUACAUAUCAUCUAAGAAGCUUCAGGGGUAUCCUCUAGGCCAGGUACCCAACUACACGUGCUGAACACCCUGUCCUUUCUACUUAGCAUCUCUUACUGUGCGUUGGUCAUUGCUAGACUGGACCAGAGGGACGUUUAAUCCAUUGUUUCAUCUCUAGUGCCUGGCAUUUGAACAAAUGCUUGGGCAAAUAAAUACUUGUGUGGUUUUUUUUGUUUUUUAUGAAACCUUCACAGUCUUUUUUGACCGUCACGGACAUUUUGCCUGUUCUCUGAAUAGUUCUUAGCCAUGUAUUGCAAAUUAAGAAAUGAAAUUCACCUUACUUGCGACUAGUAAUCUCAUUGUUGUGUUUCUUGAAUUUAGUGCAGUGCUUAGCAUGUGGUUCAAAUAUUAUGUGAAUGUUGUUAAGAAAACAGACUGUAAUUUACCCUAGUAAACUAGUAGUAAUGUCAAGAUUCAAACCUAGGUGUACUCAAAAAUCAGCUCUCUAGUGUUAAGUCCAUAAUACAGAGCCUUUAUUUUGUUUUAAUUUCCAAAGGAACCUACAUAUAGAGGGAAAACAUUGGAUAACUGCUUAGAUUGAACUGAGUUCAGUAAUCUAAAAAUCACCUUCAGUAUUGGAGAAAGACAAGACUGCAAAAAGUUAAUGUCCAUUUUUCCUUUUGUAGGCAUCAACCCUAGGAGAAAGUGGCAUGCUAUUUAGUACUUACUUUCCUUUACAGAUGAUUUCUGGCUCUCCUGGAACUUAAAAGUAAGUAAACUUGUUUCUGAGAAAGAUGUCUUAGUCAGCCCUUCUGACUACAAGAUCUUCAGCUCAUUUAAAAAAAAAAAAAAUGUGGAAUUCCCACAUCAUCUCCCAGAGAGAAAACCCCCAGAUGACAUCCAGUUAACAUGGACUUUUAGAUUUGCUGUAUUUUCUUGCUUUCUUGUUUCAUGCUUCUGAAUUUCAUUUCUAGGUAAAUGAGACAUUUCAGUCUUAAGUUGGAAAGCCAGAUGCUUAUUAGUCUCUUUCAUUAAGCCAUUUUGCUCAACUUAAGAGAUAAACUAGUAUCAUUCUCUUAGUUGGACUUACAGUUUUAGGAAGUCACACUAAUUAGUUCACUCUGAGGUCUUGGUAGUAGGUACAACAGUCAUCCAGAGAUUUGAUCCUGUUGCAAAACUAGGUUUUUGUCAACCUUCAGGUUAAGGGUUUCUCAUUUUUAUCUCGUAUUUAAAAAGUUGUUUCAUCCUACAGUGUAAGAACGUUAUAAAUACUCUAUCAUUUCUGCCUUGAAACUGACCAAAUACUGAAUUCAUGUAUACUUUGUCUAAAGCAGCCAAUGGCCACCACAAAGUAUUUUUUUUUCUUCUUUAAUAAAGGGUAGAUGUCCCAUCUCCCAGCUCAUCUCAAGGGGCACCUCUCU